Molecule: small nuclear RNA, 131 nt
Filed under: Carcinoscorpius rotundicauda (Southeast Asian horseshoe crab)
Lineage: Eukaryota; Metazoa; Arthropoda; Merostomata; Xiphosura; Limulidae
Description: U2 small nuclear RNA
Rfam family: U2 spliceosomal RNA
About the family: U2 is a small nuclear RNA (snRNA) component of the spliceosome (involved in pre-mRNA splicing). Complementary binding between U2 snRNA (in an area lying towards the 5' end but 3' to hairpin I) and the branchpoint sequence (BPS) of the intron results the bulging out of an unpaired adenosine, on the BPS, which initiates a nucleophilic attack at the intronic 5' splice site, thus starting the first of two transesterification reactions that mediate splicing.
Source: RNAcentral
GAUCAAAGUGUAGUAUCUGUUCUUAUCAGCUUAAUAUCUGAUACGGUUCCCAUUGGGGACCAUGAUAUUAAACUUAUUUUUGUAAGGCGGCGGGGUGCUUGGAGCUUGCUCCACUCCUGCCACGGGUUGGC